UUUUGAUCUCUAGGGAGGAGUGCUUAUGGGGACAAUUGGGGGAAGCAGGACUGAGUUCUGAGGUACGCCAAUAUUUACAAGUUGAGUGGAUGAGAAACCUAUAAAGAAGAAUGAGAAGAAAUGAUAAGGAGAAGCAGUAGGUAUUCUACAAUAAAUUGAUCAUCCUUCUAUUAUUGAGAAGAGAAAAAUAAAACAGAAAAGAAUAAAGAGGAAAUGGAAGGACUUGAAAUACGCAGAAAAAAAAAUAACUCAAAAGGCAGCAAAAGCUAAUGAGGAAACAGUACUGGAGGAAAAUGAGCAUGUAAUUGCUUACAUAAUCCUAUUCAGAAGAGCAUGGGAGACAUCCCCAAGGAAUUUCUGGAACUUUAAAGAAGGGGUCAGAUUUUCAUGGAGUUAAUAAAGAUGAAUACACAAGAUAAAUUCAGUAUGAAGUCUAUGAUGCUACAUUAUGGCCAAGACCAAGACUUGGUGAAUAAGUUGAUCUGCUUUGAUUAAGUGUGACCUUUUUCUACACCAAGUUGAGAGAUAUCUCAAUUAGUUUGACAUCUCUUGUGAAUCUAUGUGACUUUAAUGACAAAGUAAAACUGAUAAAAAGGAAA
Molecule: long non-coding RNA, 599 nt
Filed under: Vulpes vulpes (red fox)
Lineage: Eukaryota; Metazoa; Chordata; Mammalia; Carnivora; Canidae
Description: lncRNA (ENSVVUG00000016078.1)
Source: RNAcentral